RNAcentral lists this ribosomal RNA (265 nucleotides) under uncultured bacterium. Its description in RNAcentral is "partial 16S ribosomal RNA". It matches the Rfam family "Bacterial small subunit ribosomal RNA", at positions 90 to 353 of the family's 1533-position model. The record is from RNAcentral.
ACUUAGCGGCGGGCGGGUGAGUAACGCGUGGGUAACCUGCCUUACACUGGGGGAUAACAGUUAGAAAUGACUGCUAAUACCGCAUAAGCGCACAGGGCCGCAUGGUCUGGUGUGAAAAACUCCGGUGGUGUAAGAUGGACCCGCGUCUGAUUAGGUAGUUGGUGGGGUAACGGCCCACCAAGCCUACGAUCGGUAGCCGGACUGAGAGGUUGAUCGGCCACAUUGGGACUGAGACACGGCCCAGACUCCUACGGGAGGCAGCAUG